RNAcentral lists this long non-coding RNA (256 nucleotides) under Mus musculus (house mouse). RNAcentral describes it as "long non-coding RNA chr2:24921639-24921895". Lineage: Eukaryota; Metazoa; Chordata; Mammalia; Rodentia; Muridae. The record is from RNAcentral.
GCCGGGUGUGGUGGCGCACGCCUUUAAUCCCAGCACUCCGGAGGCAGAGACAGGCAGAUUUCUGAGUUCGAGGCCAGCCUGGUCUACAAAGUGAGUUCCAGGACAGCUAGGACUACACAGAGAAACCCUGUCUCGAAAAACCAAAAAAAAGGGGGGUAAGCCCAAGACUUAUCAUGCUUGUUUGGUUUUGGUUUUUUGAGUCCUGGAACUCACUCUGUAGACCAGGCUGGCCUCAAACUCAGAAAUCUGCCUGACU